AAAAAAAAAAUCUUCAUCAAGAUUAACGUGUGAAAGAAGCCGUUUUCAGAGGACUGGACACUAUUCUUAACUCAGCCCCAUCUAACAAAUAGAGAAUGUGCGAGAUGAAACCCCAAGAAAUACUAUCUAGAGGAGGGAACCUUGGUUACCCCAGUAACAUGUGGUGACCCAGAUGGGCCCCGAGGAACGACCUCUAAAGACUACAGGGGUGCCGUGACUCAGAAAACAUCAGUCACACUCAAGAAGAGGAAAGGGGUAGGGGUGAGCAACCCCUCUGUUCACCCUUGUCCACUCUCCUUGUGAAGACAUCUCAGGUAACAUUUAGUACUGUAUAAACCCCUACAUUAAGAUGUCUCCAGAGAGCCACCAUAAGCCACACCAGGCUUUCUAUGCACCCACCGUCUGAAGACUCCACAUUGCUCUCAACCCGAUUUCGUUAAAACUUGCCUGCCUUAUUUAUUCACAUUCACAUGAACUGCCGCCCAGUGACCUGGAGACACAGCUCUGUUUCCUGCAAAGCUAAUUGGGCGACUCGGGGAAAUAAUCAAGCUUCCAUUGUGCCUCUCAGCAGCAAGCAUGCCAAAGCAAAUCCAUGUCUCUACCGGUCUGAUGGGUGGCACGCCCUUGGCUGGUUCAUGGUUCUGACUGAUUCCUUUGUGUUCCUGGAGUCCGUGCCCCAGCAUGCCAGGAGGGCUAGUCCCCUUCCGAAUCAAUCAGUCCACUGGUGCUAAGUGAGGUCAUCUUACCUGGCAUCUAGAGUUUCUGCCCCAGUGACAAGGGAGAUGAAAUCACUGUCUCCAGAUGCAGAGCAAGAGCCGCCAGGAAAGGUUGUGGGAUCGUCUUGUAGAGAGAUGGGAUCCUGGGAGUCUAUGCCAGGAGCAGCGUGCGGACCAAUGCUCUCACCGGCACGUGUGCUCACUUCCUAAGGCUCCCAAACAGCAGGAUGUAGCCUUCUGGAUCCUUCCUUAGUUUUCCUUUACGUUUUAGCCCCUUUGUCUCGUUAUAUGGUAGCAUGUGUCCAGGUUGCAUGGGCUGCUCUCUCUCGUGUGCAGUGGAUACCGACUAUGCCAGGCUGCUUUCCCUUUCUUCUGGGAGGGCCCUCCCACACAAUCAGGUCUCGUCUUGUAAGACUGUCCAUCGAUGCCCCAUGGUAUCGUUUAGGGAUCCUGGAUAAUUUCUCUGCAACCUGUGAGUGUGAUAGGAGGGCGUCUGAUAGCCUCCUCUAGUCAAGGAACACAGAAGGUUGGGCUGAAGAGGGACAAGUUGGAGCUGGGAGAAGAAAUCUUUCGGACAGAGUGUGUGUUCCAUAGAUGGUAAGAAAAUAAAAUAAAAUAAAAUAAAAUAAAAUAAAAUAAAACAAAAGGGAAAAAACCCUCAUGUUUACAUUUGGCCCCAGCAUUUAAGAGGUCAGGCCUUAGCUUCAGGUAAGCCUCACAGUGUUGAAUUGAGCCAAGCUCAUGAUAUCCUACACCUGGGCAGCAUUUCCUCAUCAAGAAAAUGAUAACAACUGAAAAUAAAUACUAAAAAAUAUGAAUAGCAUCUUACAUUUAACUUUGGAGUUUGAAACUUUAAAUUAAUAUUAGAGUAUAUGUACAGAUAGAAACGCCAAGCCUCAUCUUUGACACACUUUAAACAAUUGACUGAGCUCCUUAUGAGCUAUGAAUGUGAAGAAGAACAUGGAGGGAUAUCUCAGAAGGUUUGGAUGGAGGAAAGAGAAAAAAGAAAUGAUGUAGUGAGAGCCUCAAAAAUAAAAGGAAACACUUUAAAAGAAUAGUACUGCAUAAGACCUCUUUACUAAAAGGAAUCUGUGUCUGAGUUACACACAUAGGACAGUAUGUCAAUAUCCUGUUAAACUACAGGACUAGAAACUAAAACCAUAAACUAAAGUUCCCAGGUAAACCUUACAGAAAGCACAAGACAGCCUUUGUCCAGUACACAGAGAAGCAUGGAAGCCACUGUUGGUGAUUGGCAGAGACAUUUGUAUAGUGCUAUUGGCCAAAAGCUGCGGUUAAUCUCGACGUUAAUGUUCUAUUCAGGGAGUCCAUGGCUCCCAAGUUCCACUAUUUUCUGAAGUAAACACCUCAACCCUACUCCUUUUGCAAACACUUGAGCCGAAAUAAUAUAGAUAACUUGAUUAAAAGAAACUCAAACAAGGGAAUAAUUUUAGAUGUGUAAGCCCCAACCCAUCUUACCAGAAGAAAUAAAGGCAAUGUUGUUCUUCCAGAUUUUUACUAAUUCUGUAGAAACAGCUGAGAGCAAGUUGGAAAAAUCCCAGAGAAUUCAAAAGAUUGAUUAUUAUAAAUAUGCUCAAAUCAAAUAAUAAGAUUAUCUCCUAAUCAAAAAUACAAAGCAGAGAACAAAAGAUGAAGAAAAAAAUAAAAUUCAGCAAAGAUAUAGAAAUGCUGAAUGAAAAAAAAAAACACUAAAUGUCUGAAAUUAAACCAUAGUGCACCAAGUAAAACUCUGUGGGAAGUCUUCGAGUUAAUGUGACUCAAAGGGCAGAGGAUGCGGGACUGAAGACACGGUGAAGGGACUGGCGUAGGUCUACAAGGACGAAGAACUUAAGAAUAAGAUUCCAAGACACAGCCAACUCUACGAAAAGAGCCAAGUCUACAGGCCAGGGGCAAAUCAAUAUGAGAAGAGAAUCCUGCUCUAAAAGCUUGGGAAACGUUUUCAAAAGAAUCAUAACCAAAAUUUCCAAGACUUAGAAAAAUAGAUAUUCAAAAUUAGAUAUCUAGAUAUUAAAAAAAAUAUUUAGAACAACAAACAGAGAAGACUAGAAGUACACGUGUGCCAUAUCACACUUUAAACACUAAACAUACAGAGCAAAGAACGGGCAUUGAAGUCACAUCUAAAGUCACACAUAAGGGGCAGGCCCAUUGGUGACGGCAGGUUUGCCAACAGAAAGGGCCUAAGGGGCUUGGAAAGACUUAUUUCCAAUUUUGAAUGAAGAAUAGCCAGCCCAGGCUACUCCACCCAGAAAAUCUAUGCCACAGUAGAAGAGCUGAAACCCUUCUUUCAUAAGAAUAGGCUGAAGGAAUUUGUGGCCACUAAGGUACCACAACGAAACCCUAGAAUUUUUUGUCUGAAGUGAAGAAUGAAAUGGAAUCGCUAGGCCUCAGGAAAAACCAUAACCCAUAAUAGAAUGAUAUUGAUACAAGGGACAGAAACUCCAACGUCCACAGAGACCAUACACAGCUUUCAGCAAUUAUUCUGAGUAUUAACAGUCUCACUUAGAUGACGGAAUUGAAAAGCAAGAGUCAGCUAGGCCUCUUCUUGAAGAAAUGAAUCUCACCAUAAAAGACAACUAUUACUUCAGGAUGAAAGGAUGGGGGGAAAAAUGUAAUGGCUACGGUAAGUUCUCAUGCCUGACAACAGACAUGAGAGGAGAGACACGGUUGUUCAUUUCAUACUGAUGAAGGGAACAAUCCAGAGCUGUGCCCAACUCCAUAAAACACAUACUACUAGAUGUCGUUAAGGCCUAGAUGGAAAGUUAAGGUCUAGAUGGAAAGUUAAGGCCUAGGUAAUGGAUACCUGGCUUGCCUGCCACUGUAAGGAAACUUUCUCAUGUGUUUCUGCUGUUACUAGGAAACUUUCUAAUGCCAAAACUGAUUAUAUAUUCUGUUAUAUUGUAUGUCCUUAUGAAGCCAUUCACAAUGGAAGCUAGCAGAAGUAUUUUGUGUAGUUACCCACAAUAAGCUUGGAUGUAAACCAACCACACACUUCCUGCACCUACGCAUAAGCUUUUGUGGGAUACGCUGUCCCUGGGAUAGAUCCCAACAUAGGAGAAACACUUGCACUGAUAUAAGAAACCAUUUGGAAUACAACAUCCAAGUAGUUGAGUAAAGUUUAAGUUCCCAAGACCUCCCUAGGAACUGGCAUCCUAUUUGGCAGAAAGACAUGGACAUCGUUAACUGACAUUCUGUUCGGCAAAUCAAGACCUGAAUGUUACACGAGUCCCAUCCUGAUAGACAAGUUAGGACAUGAAUAUUAGACAAGUUUCCUGCCACAGUUGAAUACGCCAACCAAUGGAAGCAGGAUUAAGUGUACAGUAAAGACUUGUUCCUAAGGAAAUCCCUAAAUCCUGAUGAGUAAAAUAACUUGUCACGUGUUCAUCUCACAGAUCUCAGGCUUUGAAAGUAUUGUAGGAGCUUAACUAGGGGUUGUGGUUCUGCUCCCGAGCCUGAAUCAUGUCUCUGAUCAAUCAAUCUUGGGGUGUGGUAUUCGAUAAACCAUGCCUAGUUGACUGAGAUCAGUGUUUUGAGCAGCGAUUCCUGGACACCAAUUGCAGAUGUAAAAUUACAGAUUAACCUUGGUACAACAGUAGGAAACAGCUUUACUACUCCACUCUCUUCUUCCAGAAAGAAAACAGAGAAAUGGCAAAUUAAGUAACAUCAUGGCUGAAAUGGACCCAACUGGACAUCUACAGAUCUCUCUACACAAACAUUGAAGAAUACGCAUUCUCCUCAGAAGCCCAUGGAAUUUUUCUCCAAAAAGAACAUGUGUUCAGGACUUUUAUUAUAAAGCCAUGUCUAGUUUUUCAUCAAAGAUUUUCUGCAUCUACUGAGGUGACUAUGUGAUUAUUUUGUCCUUGUAUCCAUUUAGGCAAUUCAUAUUAUUUAUCAGUUUAUAAAUAAAUAUUAAACCAUCCCUCCGUAUUUGGAAUAAAGCCAACUUGGUUGGGAUGAA
Non-coding RNA from Rattus norvegicus (Norway rat), 4689 nucleotides. Lineage: Eukaryota; Metazoa; Chordata; Mammalia; Rodentia; Muridae. The record is from RefSeq and is a predicted model, not a curated record.